GCAGUUCGCUUUCCGGGUGCUGGCAUUCACAAGAAUGGCUCAGUAAUCUAGGCCUUUAGGUGUCAUCCUUACCCUCUCCCCGCACCAUGACGGUGGAGACGCAUUGGGGAGGAAAAGUGAACCCCUUAAGAGGACUGCUCCGAGGGCAAAUGGAACUAGCUCAGCAGCUUGCCACCCCUGGGUGCCUGGCCGGGUAAACAAAAUCUUUUAGAGGGUUUGUGCUUUGCAGAACUCAAGACUGAAGCCCAACCCUUUAGUGAUUUGACUCUGUGUAUCUCCAGCUCAUGAUUCCCUAUGCAUGGUUUACCUACCAGGAAAGAAGGCACUCCUCAGCUACUAUAAAUAUCAGGUGUAACUUGAUGUUUAAGGUGGGUAUUAUAAAUGCCAUUGACAUUGACACCGGACAGCCAUUUUAAUCACCUGGGAGCUUAUUAGAAAUGCAUACUUUUGGCCCCACUCCAGUCUUUCUGAAUCAGAAACUUGAGAUUCCCAGGCAGUUCCUCUACACCAUAAAGUUUAAGAAGCAUUGGUGAGCCAAUCACAAUAAUUCCAUCUUGAUAGGGACUGUUUCUGUAAUGGGUGUGUCAUCCAUUUUGAGCCGGUGAAACCCCAAGGUGCCAGCUCAGAGCAUCUGGGAGGAAAAAAGCCAGUCUCUCCUGGAUGUAAACAAGGCUGCAAGACAGCACACUGCCUCAGUUCCUGCUGUCAAACAUCUUGUGACCACAAGUGAACCUAGAUUGUGGCCAAGACUGCCAGGAGCCUACCCAGAGUGUUCAUUCUCCUCUUCCUGAGUAAUAGGACCAGUGGACGUUCCCAUGGGAUGGAAGAAGCAUAGGAUGGAAAUGAGUGCCCUAGACUUUGCAGCAACACACAUUGUGUUAGGAAUGUGUCUAUAAGGCCUGUUGAGACAAGUGGUUUUCAACCAGAGUUGCAUAUCAGAAUCACUUGGGCAACAUUUUAAAGAUAUCAAUUUCCAGGCCCCCUCCUAGAGGUGUUUUUGUUGUUGCUGUUGUUGUUUGGUUUUUUUUAACGGCCACACCUUUGGCCUAUGGAAGCUUCUGGGCAAGGUGUUGAAUUGCAGCUGCAGGCCUAUGCCACAGCCAUGGCAACACUAAGUCCAAGCUGUAUCUGCAACCUAUGCCACAGCUUGUGGCAACACUGGAUUCUCAACCCUCUGAGUGAGGCCAGGGAUUGAACCUGCAUCCUCACAGACACUGUGUCAGAUUCUUAAUCUGCUAAAUCACAGUGGGAAUGCCACAAAGAUUUUGAUUUAAUGGAUUUGGGCAGAAGUCUGGACACAUUCCCCCCCCCCCCCCCCCCCCCCCCCCCCCCCGGGGCUGUCCCUGCAGCACGCUGAAGUUUCCAGGCCAGAGGUGGAACCUGAGCCACAGCAGCAACAAUGCUGGAUCCUUAAAAACCCACCCACCCCCAUCACCAGGAAACUUCUGGACACAUUUUAUAAAAGUUCCUCAGUGGUUAUACUAUGUAGCCAUUGAGAAAUACCAGCUUAAAUCACAUUUUACAGCAUAAUGCCAUUUCAGUAUUGCUUUUCCCCUAGGAUUGCUCAUGAAACUUCUUGUAAACUCUUUUCGUAACUUUGUUGUUUUUUGUUUUUUGUGGUCUAAGACCCACAGAGGUCCAAGGCCCAGGUCCCAAGGCUGCUUUUCUAGACUCCUCUAGUAGGAGCCACCAAGGUAUACUUUUCAAAGCUGACUGAGGCCCCACUUUGUGGGACUGUUUCUGUUUCUAAGUUCAGCUAACUUUUGCCUCUUUCCUUUAUUUCCCCAAGGGUGAUGUUACUAACUCUACCAUGUCACUCACCCUUUGCUUUGUCAGCUCUUGAAUGCCAAAUUCUCUAUGUUGAAUUAUCUGUUAAAAUUAUUAAUGUGAGGAGUUCCCGUCGUGGCUCAGUGGUUAACGAAUCCGACUAGGAACCAUGAGGUUGCUGGUUUGAUCCCUGGCCUCACUCAGUGGGCUAAGGAUCCAGAGUUGUCGUGAGCUGUGGUGUAGGUCAAAGACAUGGCUCAGAUCCGGCAUUGCUGUGGCUGUGGCAUAGGUUGGCUGCUGUAGCUCUGAUUCCACCCCAAGCCCAGGAGCUUGCAUAUGCCACAAGUGCGGUCCUAAAAAAGAAAAAAUAUAUUAUUAAUGUGGUCUCUGUUUUCUUGAUUGGACCUGAACUGAUGCAUCAUCGUCUAGAAUUUAUUGAAGUCAUGUCAUGAAAGUAUAUUUGGUAUAAGCAUUUGCAGGAAAUGUGACUUAAAAAAAAAUCUUGAGUUCCCAACAUUGCAAAGUGAGUUUAGAAUCCAACUGCAGUGGCUUAGGUCACUGCCAAGGUGUGGGUUCUAUCCCCAGUGGAAUGGGUCACAGCUUUGGCUCAGAUUUAAUCCCUGGCCCAGGAACUUCCAUAUGCUGUGGGUGCAGACAUAAAAAUUAAAGAAAAAAACAACUUCCCAUGCCUUCUUGUCAUUUUUUUUCCCUGCAUCUUAUUUUUUUUGGUCACCGAGUGGAAUAUGGAGUUCCCGAGUCAGGGGUCAGAUCUGAGCCACAGUUUUGAUCUAUAUCACAGCUGUGGCAUACCAGAUCUUUAAUUCACUGUAUCAGGCCAAGGAUAGAACCUGCAUCCUGGAGUUCCCGUCGUGGCUCAGUGGUUAACGAAUCCGACUAGGCAUCAUGAGAUUGCGGGUUGGAUCCCUGGCCUCGCUCAGUGGGUUAAGGAUCCGGCAUUCCUGUGAGCUGUGGUGUAGGUUGCAGACGUGGCUCAUAUCCUGCAUUGCUGUGGCUCUGGUGUAGGCUGGCAGUUACAGCUCUGAUUGGACCCCCAGCCUGGGAACCUCCAAAUGCUGAGGGAGCGGCCCAAGAAAUGGCAAAAAGACAAAAAAAAAAAAAAAAAAAAAAAAAAAAA
Molecule: long non-coding RNA, 2902 nt
Filed under: Sus scrofa (pig)
Lineage: Eukaryota; Metazoa; Chordata; Mammalia; Artiodactyla; Suidae
Description: lncRNA (ENSSSCG00065002447.1)
Source: RNAcentral